Molecule: non-coding RNA, 848 nt
Filed under: Pongo abelii (Sumatran orangutan)
Lineage: Eukaryota; Metazoa; Chordata; Mammalia; Primates; Hominidae
Source: RNAcentral
GCUGCACACAGGGCCAUGCCCAACCAGCAGGCUCUCAGAGGACUCUUGAGGUGGAAAUGAAAACAGGUACUUUGUUAACCAGUGGAAGUACAAAGAUGAAUAAACCAUACUCCUCCCCUCAAGACAACUCUUUCAUGAGGGAGAUAACCCAGGAAAUAGGAGUCUAUUCAUGAGACUGCUGCUCUAACUAGAAGAAUAGGAAGUACCAGAAGGUCACAAAAGAAGAACUGAUUAGCUCAACCUGAGAAAGUCUCCCAAAGCUUCACAGAGGAAGGAAUGCUGAAGUGGGGAUGAAGAGGAGUUGAUCAGAAAAAAAAGACAGUCUCUGUCACCCAGGUUGGAGUACAGUGGCAUGCUCACUGCUCACUGCAGCCUCAACUUCCCAAACUCAAGUGAUUCUCUCACCUCAGCCUCGUAGCUGGGAUUACAGGGUUCUGUCAAAGCAGAUGACUCCCAAAGGUUUCAUAAAUCUUCCUGAAAAUAAGCUCCUUCAGCUAUAUAAUCAUGGCACCCACGGCUUAAAAGUUGAUAGUGAGAACAGCAUUGAACAGCCUGCUGCAUUCAGCAAAAGAUGGGAGAGAAAUGAGUUCAAUCAGUAGACUCCCACGACCCCUUCCAGUGGCGCAAUCAUCUCUUCCAAGAAGUGCAGCUACUUAUUUGCAAUAAGCGACAACACACAAGAAACCACAAAGAAUCUGCAGACGCGAGACUCCCUGACCUGUGGAUACACAGCCAUCUCCAAUAAGUCUACAUUUAAACUAAAACUUCUCCUGUUGAGCAACCAUAAUGUGGAAUUAUGUUAGCAAGACCUUAUGCAUUCCCACAAAUUUUCUCCCAAUAAAAAAACU